CCUACGGGAGGCAGCAGUGAGGAAUAUUGGUCAAUGGGCUUACGCCUGAACCAGCCAAGUCGCGUGAGGGAAGACUGCCCUAUGGGCUGUAAACCUCUUUUGCCAGGGAGCAACGCCGGCUACGUGUAGCCGGACUGAGAGUACCCGAAGAAAAAGCAUCGGCUAACUCCGUUCCAGCAGCCGCGGUAAUACGGUGGAUGCGAGCGUUAUCCGGAUUUAUUGGGUUUAAAGGGUGCGUAGGCGGGAUGCCAAGUCAGCGGUAAAAUCGCGGGGCUCAACCUCGCUCCGCCGUUGAAACUGGCGGUCUGGAGUGGGCGAGAGGUAUGCGGAAUGCGUGGUGUAGCGGUGAAAUGCGUAGAUAUCACGCAGAACUCCGGUUGCGAAGGCAGCAUACCGGCGCCCAACUGACGCUGAGGCACGAAAGCGUGGGUAGCGAACAGGAUUAGAUACCCGGGUAGUC
Molecule: ribosomal RNA, 460 nt
Filed under: uncultured bacterium
Lineage: Bacteria
Description: partial 16S ribosomal RNA
Rfam family: Bacterial small subunit ribosomal RNA
Source: RNAcentral